This 918-nucleotide ribosomal RNA is filed under the name Pezicula cinnamomea. RNAcentral's name for it is "LSU rRNA". It matches the Rfam family "Eukaryotic large subunit ribosomal RNA", at positions 38 to 968 of the family's 3401-position model. The record is from RNAcentral. Lineage: Eukaryota; Fungi; Ascomycota; Leotiomycetes; Helotiales; Dermateaceae.
GCAUAUCAAUAAGCGGAGGAAAAGAAACCAACAGGGAUUACCUUAGUAACGGCGAGUGAAGCGGUAACAGCUCAAAUUUGAAAUCUGGGUCUUUUAGGCUCCGAGUUGUAAUUUGUAGAAGAUGCUUUGGGUGCGGCCCCGGUCUAAGUUCCUUGGAACAGGACGUCAUAGAGGGUGAGAAUCCCGUAUGUGAUCGGUGGCUUGCGCCCGUGUAAAGCUCUUUCGACGAGUCGGGUUGUUUGGGAAUGCAGCUCUAAAUGGGUGGUAAAUUUCAUCUAAAGCUAAAUAUUGGCCAGAGACCGAUAGCGCACAAGUAGAGUGAUCGAAAGAUGAAAAGCACUUUGGAAAGAGAGUUAAACAGUACGUGAAAUUGUUGAAAGGGAAGCGCUUGCAACCAGACUUGCGCGGGGUUGAUCAUCCGGGGUUCUCCCCGGUGCACUCGGCCUCGCUCAGGCCAGCAUCGGUUUUGGUGGUUGGAUAAAGGCCUUGGGAAUGUGACUUCUUUCGGGGAGUGUUAUAGCCCUCGGUGCAAUGCAGCCUACCGGGACCGAGGACCGCGCUUCGGCUAGGAUGCUGGGCUGGCGUAAUGGUUGUAAGCGACCCGUCUUGAAACACGGACCAAGGAGUCUAACAUCUAUGCGAGUGUUUGGGUGUCAAACCCAUACGCGUAAUGAAAGUGAACGGAGGUGAGAACCCUUAAGGGUGCAUCAUCGACCGAUCCUGAUGUCUUCGGAUGGAUUUGAGUAAGAGCAUAGCUGUUGGGACCCGAAAGAUGGUGAACUAUGCCUGAAUAGGGUGAAGCCAGAGGAAACUCUGGUGGAGGCUCGCAGCGGUUCUGACGUGCAAAUCGAUCGUCAAAUUUGGGCAUAGGGGCGAAAGACUAAUCGAACCAUCUAGUAGCUGGUUCCUGCCGAAGUU